GCCUUCUUAACUGCCACCUAUCUCAUCAAUUUGCCUCCUAGUAAGGUCAUCAAAGUUGAAACACCCAUCACACGACUCCUUGGUAUUACACCAAAUCAUACAUCACUUUGUAUUUUAGGUUGUGCAUGUUGGCCAAAUCUCAGACCCUACAAUACACUCAAACUUGCAUUCCGCUCAAAACGAUGUGUGUUUCUAGGAUAUAGUCCCAUGCACAAGGGAGUAAAAUGCUUAGAUGUUCCUACAGGAAGAGUCUACAUAUCCAGAGAUGUUGUAUUUGACGAGUCCACUUUUCCAUUUGAAUCCCUUCAUCCGAACGCCGGUGCUCUCCUUCGGAAGGAAAUCCUUCUUCCCCAAAAUCUUCGAAGCUUUGAUCACGGGGGAGACAAUUGUACUGACCAAUAUGAUAGUAAUACUACCAGUACCAGUUCUGCUCUUAUGCCUGUGCAGGUCAACGUGAACAGUGGUGAAGACGGCAGUCAAAAUGGUGGUCAGAAUGAUCAAAACCAUGUUAUAUUUCAUGUACCGCAAGAGGACGAACUGGGCGCAGAAUAG
Molecule: ribosomal RNA, 552 nt
Filed under: Triticum aestivum (bread wheat)
Lineage: Eukaryota; Viridiplantae; Streptophyta; Magnoliopsida; Poales; Poaceae
Description: partial small subunit ribosomal RNA
Source: RNAcentral